This is a long non-coding RNA of Oncorhynchus tshawytscha (Chinook salmon), 1281 nucleotides long. Lineage: Eukaryota; Metazoa; Chordata; Actinopteri; Salmoniformes; Salmonidae. The record is from Ensembl.
GGAGAGAACAUGAGAGAGGGAACAUGAGAGAGAGAACAUGAGAGAGAAAGAGAGGAGAGAACAUGAGAGAGGGAACAUGAGAGAGAAAGAGAGGAGAGAACAUGGGAGGGAGAGAGAAAGAGAGGAGAGAACAAGGGAGAGAGAAAGAGAGGAGAGAACAAGGGAGAGAGAGAGAGGAGAGAACAUAAGAGAGGAGAGAACAUGGGAGGGAGAGAGAACAUGAGAAAGAAAGAGAGGAGAGACCAAGGGAGGGAGAGAGAAAGAGAGGAGAGAACAAGGGAGAGAGAGAGAGUUAUGUGGUGGGUGGCUCUGCUGUCCUGAAUCCUGACUCCAUACUAACAGGUUAUCAGUUAACCUGGCCCAACUGCAUACAUCUGAUGUAUUGUAUAUCUGUGUUAAUCCGCUUUGGACCAUAGCCUCUCCUAAAUCGGGGCAAGCCUUUUGCUAGCUCAGAGAGAGAGAGAGCUAAACGUUAGAGCAAAACAACAACCCAACCCUCCUUCCCGUUCACUCCUCCUCCCCUCACUCCCCAUCUCCACAAACAAGUGGAUUGUUCAGAAUGUUUAACAUGUAAACACAGGCUGGUACAUCAAAGCUAACAUGGGAUGGUAAACCCUAGUCCCUGUAAUUACAGAGUGAAUUAACAUGGUUGUGAAGCUAUUAGUAGAACCCAUUCACAGGUACAGUCUGAGGGGAUCUACUUUUAAAACUCAUGUGGACAAGAGGAGCGGACGGGCGGACUCUCUCUCUCUCUCUCAUAAUAAUAAUAAUGAUCAGCUCUCUCCAGUGUUCUCUGUAGAUUUAAGGCCCUUGCGCUGGACUGUUUUGCUUUAUUUCCUCCCGUAAGAUUAAAGUGAGAUCCUCUCUGGUGCUGCUCUUUAAUCUGUGUGGAAUUUAACAGAAUGGGUUCCAGGAGCAGCUCUCGCAUGACGAGUAACCUUGUGUUAGUUCAGAGGUGGGAGACCCGGGGUAGAACCCAGCUCGGUCACACCAGCACUCACACAGAAACACAUGUUCCUUGUGUUAGUUCACAGAGGCAGGAGACCCGGGGUAGAACCCAGCUCGGUCACACCAGCACUCACACAGAAACACAUGUUCCUUGUGUUAGUUCAGAGAGGCAGGAGACCCGGGGUAGAACCCAGCUCGGUCACACCAGCACUCACACAGAAACACAUGUUCCUUGUGUUAGUUCACAGAGGCAGGAGACCCGGGGUAGAACCCAGCUCGGUCACACCAGCACUCACACAGAAACACAUGUUCCUUGUGUUAGUUCAGAGGCAG